GAUGAACGCUGGCGGCGUGCCUAAUACAUGCAAGUCGAGCGAACAGACGAGGAGUUUGCUCCUCUGACGUUAGCGGCGGACGGGUGAGAAACACGUGGAUAACCUACCUAUAAGACUGGGAUAACUUCGGGACACCGGAUAUAAUACGGGAUAAUAUAUUACACCGCAUGGUUCAAUAGUGAAAUACGGUUUUGCUGUAACUUAUAGAUGGAUCCGCGCCGCAUUAGCUAGUUGGUAAGGUAACGGUUUACCAAGGCAACGAUGCGAAGCCAACCUGAGAGGGUGAUGGCCACCACUGGACCGGGAACCCGGCCCGGACUCCUACGGGAGGCAGAGUAAGGAAUUCUUCGCCAAUGGGCGAAAGCCUGACGGGCAAACGCGGCGUAAGUAAUGAAGGUCUCCGGACCUAAAGACUUGUUUAUUAGGGAAGAAAAAAUGUGUAAAAAACGAUGCACGUCUUGACGGUACCUAAUCAGAAAGCCACGGCUAACUACGUG
Molecule: ribosomal RNA, 497 nt
Filed under: uncultured bacterium
Lineage: Bacteria
Description: partial 16S ribosomal RNA
Rfam family: Bacterial small subunit ribosomal RNA
Source: RNAcentral